CUUCAAUGCAGGAAUGUGAUGGUUCACUCCACAGUGCUAUCAGAGCUGGAGUCGGGCCUAACGCCAACAGCUGAACAUCCUGAGGCCUAAUUAAAACAAGUUCCAAUUCAGACUUCUGAAGAAAAAUGUGUCAUGAGUUUACCAGCAGCUCGUUUGACACGUGACACUUUUCCUUCGCAUGAGCUCUGCACUUUCGGGAAGUUCAGUAUCACCUGAGCGUGGGCGGCAUGACUCAGUCUGAAACCAUAACAGAACCUGUCGGCCCCGUCCGGGAGGUACCGCGCCUUGCUCCUGGGACAGUCUUCAGGUUCCCUGCGACCCUGUAGGUGGCGUAUAGAAAAGCGGUAUUGAAAUGGAUGGAUGGAUGGAUGAAUGGAUAGAUGAAUGGAUAGAUGGAUGGAUGGAUGAAUGGACGGGUGGAUGGAUGAUGAAUGGAUGGAUGGAUGGAUGAAUGAAUGGAUGAAUGGAUGAAUGAAUGAAUGAAAGGAUGGAUGGAUGGGCAGAGAGUAUCAGUAAUUCUGGA
This is a long non-coding RNA of Ictalurus punctatus (channel catfish), 523 nucleotides long. NCBI's taxonomy places the organism in Eukaryota, Metazoa, Chordata, Actinopteri, Siluriformes, Ictaluridae. The record is from Ensembl.